Mastomys coucha (southern multimammate mouse) is the source of this 144-nucleotide small nucleolar RNA. RefSeq annotates it as small nucleolar RNA SNORA48. Lineage: Eukaryota; Metazoa; Chordata; Mammalia; Rodentia; Muridae. The record is from RefSeq and is a predicted model, not a curated record. The transcript has a single exon.
UCUCCCCAACAAUGGACAAAGAGACACUUUGGUGGGGGUGUUGUUCUCAUAUCAGUCAAGGAAAGAGCAGAUGGCACUUCUUUCUUCAUCCUAGCUUGAUGUCUGGCUUGGUGGCCAAGGCUGUUUCAUGACUGGUGCACAUAA